RNAcentral lists this ribosomal RNA (425 nucleotides) under uncultured bacterium. RNAcentral's name for it is "bacterial SSU rRNA". It matches the Rfam family "Bacterial small subunit ribosomal RNA", at positions 506 to 929 of the family's 1533-position model. The record is from RNAcentral.
UGCCAGCAGCCGCGGUAAUACAGAGGGUACGAGCGUUAAUCGGAAUGACUGGGCGUAAAGGGCGCGUAGGUGGAUGCGUGUGUUGGAUGUGAAAGCCCCGGGCUUAACCUGGGAAUGGCAUACAAAACUGCGGAUCUAGAGUAGAGCAGAGGUGAGUGGAAUUUCCGGAGUAGCGGUGAAAUGCGUAGAUACCGGAAGGAGCACCAGUGGCGAAGGCGACUCACUGGGCUCAAACUGACACUGAGGCGCGAAAGCGUGGGGAGCAAACAGGAUUAGAUACCCUGGUAGUCCACGCCGUAAACGAUGUCGACUUGGAGGUUGUGCCCUUGAGGCGUGGCUUCCGGAGCUAACGCGUUAAGUCGACCGCCUGGGGAGUACGGCCGCAAGGUUAAAACUCAAAUGAAUUGAUCGGGGGCCCGCACAAG